CCUACGGGAGGCAGCAGUGGGGAAUAUUGGACAAUGGGCGAAAGCCUGAUCCAGCAAUGCCGCGUGAGUGAUGAAGGCCUUCGGGUCGUAAAGCUCUUUUACCAGGGAUGAUAAUGACAGUACCUGGAGAAUAAGCUCCGGCUAACUCCGUGCCAGCAGCCGCGGUAAUACGGAGGGAGCUAGCGUUGUUCGGAAUUACUGGGCGUAAAGAGUACGUAGGCGGUUAUUCAAGUCAGAGGUGAAAGCCCGGGGCUCAACCCCGGAACUGCCUUUGAAACUAGAUAACUAGAGUCUUGGAGAGGUUAGUGGAAUUCCGAGUGUAGAGGUGAAAUUCGUAGAUAUUCGGAAGAACACCAGUGGCGAAGGCGACUAACUGGACAAGUACUGACGCUGAGGUACGAAGGCGUGGGGAGCAAACAGGAUUAGAUACCCUGGUAGUCCACGCCGUAAACGAUGAUAACUAGUUGUUCGGUCACUUGGUGACUGAGUGACGCAGCUAACGCAUUAAGUUAUCCGCCUGGGGAGUACGGUCGCAAGNUUAAAACCNCAAAGAUGACGNUGNGANGCGAGCGACACGAGGAGAG
This 584-nucleotide ribosomal RNA is filed under the name uncultured bacterium. RNAcentral describes it as "bacterial SSU rRNA". It matches the Rfam family "Bacterial small subunit ribosomal RNA", at positions 338 to 939 of the family's 1533-position model. The record is from RNAcentral.